Molecule: transfer RNA, 72 nt
Filed under: Ascodesmis nigricans
Lineage: Eukaryota; Fungi; Ascomycota; Pezizomycetes; Pezizales; Ascodesmidaceae
Rfam family: tRNA
About the family: Transfer RNA (tRNA) molecules are approximately 80 nucleotides in length. Their secondary structure includes four short double-helical elements and three loops (D, anti-codon, and T loops).
Source: Rfam by way of RNAcentral
GGUCUUGUAGCUCAGUGGUAGAGCAUGCGAUUGCAGAUCGCAGGGUCCCGUGUUCGAACCACGGUAGGGCCU